AACGAACGCUGGCGGCACGCCUAACACAUGCAAGUCGAACGCAGACCUUCGGGUUUGAGUGGCGAACGGGUGAGUAACACGUGGGAAUCUACCUGAUAGUGGGGGACAACUGUUGGAAACGACAGCUAAUACCGCAUACGCCGGAAGUUAAAUUUUGGGAAAGAUUUAUCGCUAUCAGAAGAGCCCGCGGCAGAUUAGGUAGUUGGUAGGGUAAUGGCCUACCAAGCCGAUGAUCUGUAGCUGGUCUGAGAGGAUGACCAGCCACACUGGGACUGAGACACGGCCCAGACUCCUACGGGAGGCAGCAGUGGGGAAUCUUGGACAAUGGGGGCAACCCUGAUCCAGCGAUGCCGCGUGAAUGAAGAAGGCCCUUGGGUUGUAAAGUUCUUUCACCUGUGACGAUAAUGACGGUAACAGGAGAAGAAGCCCCGGCUAACUCCGUGCCAGCAGCCGCCGUAACAC
RNAcentral lists this ribosomal RNA (462 nucleotides) under uncultured bacterium. Its description in RNAcentral is "bacterial SSU rRNA". It matches the Rfam family "Bacterial small subunit ribosomal RNA", at positions 29 to 526 of the family's 1533-position model. The record is from RNAcentral.